This 321-nucleotide ribosomal RNA is filed under the name Triticum aestivum (bread wheat). RNAcentral's name for it is "partial small subunit ribosomal RNA". Lineage: Eukaryota; Viridiplantae; Streptophyta; Magnoliopsida; Poales; Poaceae. The record is from RNAcentral.
AACUGUGGAUUGAAUUUUUGUUUUAGCAUACAAACAUCUAUUGCUGCUUUGACUAGAUUCACUCUACGUGCUAUAUUUCUCAGAUUAUUUUCCUUUCAAACUCAUUAUAGGUCUAAAAGGGUGCUUGAACUUGGAGCUGGUUACGGAUUGGCGGGACUUGUUAUUGCAGCCAGAGCAAAUGCUGGCGAGGUUGUUAUUUCUGAUGGAAACCCACAAGUAGUUGGAUAUAUCCAGCAGAACAUAUCCAUCAAUGCAGAAACUUCUGGUCAAACGAAAGUUAAACCUAUGACACUGCACUGGGAUCAAGAGCAAGCUUCAGAC